CAGCAGUCUUGUAAACCAGAAACGGAGAUUAACUCACCCUGGGACA
RNAcentral lists this transfer RNA (46 nucleotides) under Lepus americanus (snowshoe hare). RNAcentral describes it as "partial tRNA-Thr". Lineage: Eukaryota; Metazoa; Chordata; Mammalia; Lagomorpha; Leporidae. The record is from RNAcentral. RNAcentral also lists the same sequence under 2 other names.